UACGAAGGGUGCAAGCGUUAAUCGGAAUUACUGGGCGUAAAGGGUGCGUAGGCGGUUAUUUAAGUCUGCCGUGAAAUCCCCGGGCUCAACCUGGGAAUGGCGGUGGAUACUGGAUAGCUAGAGUGUGUCAGAGGAUGGUGGAAUUCCCGGUGUAGCGGUGAAAUGCGUAGAGAUCGGGGAGGAACAUCAGUGGCGAAGGCGGCCAUCUGGGGACAACACUGACGCUGAAGCACGGAAAGCGUGGGUAGCAAACAGGG
Molecule: ribosomal RNA, 257 nt
Filed under: uncultured bacterium
Lineage: Bacteria
Description: partial 16S ribosomal RNA
Rfam family: Bacterial small subunit ribosomal RNA
Source: RNAcentral